RNAcentral lists this long non-coding RNA (1468 nucleotides) under Gossypium barbadense (sea-island cotton). RNAcentral describes it as "long non-coding RNA (GBAR_LNC000726)". Lineage: Eukaryota; Viridiplantae; Streptophyta; Magnoliopsida; Malvales; Malvaceae. The record is from RNAcentral.
GUCUAGAAGCAGCUCUCUUCAAGUUGGUGCCAAACAAAAGGCUUACUGUAUAUAAUGAUUCAAAUCGAAUUAUCUCGCAAUCUCUUGGAACAUGGAAAGUUAUAAAUGAGAAGCAGCAGCUACAACAACAAAAGAAAAAUCCAUUGCGCCACUCGGACUAUAAUCCAAAAUUUAUCUGAUAGUCUCGCUACACACCUCUAUCCAAUCAAGGCUUUCACUUCCAUUUCUUUCCUUCGAGGAGAAAGUCUUACUAAAGCUUUUGAAGGCAUUACACCGAUGUUAGCAAGAAGGAGGCUUGGUUGCAAGAGGGAGCUCUUUGACAUCAUUAGUGAAGCCAGUACCCUAAGUUAAUAGCAUAAAAUCCUUCUCACAGAAUUUCGAUUACCCUAAGGCAAGUAAGUGAAAUCUGCACUGGGGAAGGGGAGGAAAGGCUACUAAGGCAAGUGGGGAAGAAAAUCAAUAAAGAAUAGAAAGAAUAGGUAUCGAAUGCUGCAAUUGAAUCAACUCUUGCCCAAUCAGCUCUUGUGCACUCAUUGGCUAUUCUCAAAGAAGCUGCUAUUGAGGAAGCAUCCAAUAAUUCUUUUUCCUGCCUAAUCUACCCGAACGAGCUUGCUAAUCAGAUAUUUCGUAACCGAUAGGCGAGCCAGACCGACUGAACCAUCAUACAUUGACCGAGACAAGCCAUCGAAGGAGAUUGAAUUCCCGAAACAGAGCCCAGGCAGUUUGAAACUCUUUUUCUUCGACUGGUGGUAUCAGUUCCCUACUUUCCUUCAUUCCUUGCAGCUAUUUAUGCCUUACUUUCUUAGCUCCUUUCCUUCUUAGUUAAUCGAGUUAGUUAGUCAGUCGAGUAGCCUAGAGACUGAGCAACAUUGCCAUUUCUUCUUUCCUAUCUAUAUCUAGUCAAUCGAUUUGAAACCCUUCUACUUGUGAGCUAAGUUUCUUCUUCUUCUAAUGGCAUUAGCUUCGAUGGAGUUAGUCCAUGCUUAAGAGCGAGUUUCUUUCCUGGAAUUGGCUUUUCAACUUCAUUGUUAGUCGAGCUUCAACUCCAAUUUUUCAAAACCUUCUUUUCUUGGCCGAGCUUCCAUCUAGACUACUUGGGUCAGUGCGCUUCGCUGGACUCACGAAGAAUCCUGCAGAACCUUUCCAAGGCUCUACUUAACAAGGUCAGUCUAUUUAACGAUAUUUUUGUUAAAAGAAUGAAGCCUGGAAUGAAUCUGAUAUCUUUUCCUUCUUCACCUACUGGUUGAACUAAUAACAACCUCUGCUAUCUAUCUCUAAGCCCUCUGUAAUUCUAGCUGUCUUAAGUGCUCUAAUCACUGAAGCCUAAGUAAGCCCUAAAAACCCUUACAGACCAGUAACAGCCUAAACACCACUAUUCCUUUAUUAACUUCAUAGUCUUCUUUUGCACGAGCACGAAAGUAACUAGCUUACAUGUUGAUACUUCCUUCCCCGCCUAUCACUCUGGAUU